Molecule: ribosomal RNA, 119 nt
Filed under: Escherichia coli
Lineage: Bacteria; Pseudomonadati; Pseudomonadota; Gammaproteobacteria; Enterobacterales; Enterobacteriaceae
Also listed under: 1 other name
Description: partial 23S ribosomal RNA
Rfam family: Bacterial large subunit ribosomal RNA
Source: RNAcentral
UCCCUGACCCUUUAAGGGUCCUGAAGGAACGUUGAAGACGACGACGUUGAUAGGCCGGGUGUGUAAGCGCAGCGAUGCGUUGAGCUAACCGGUACUAAUGAACCGUGAGGCUUAACCUU